Molecule: long non-coding RNA, 723 nt
Filed under: Drosophila guanche
Lineage: Eukaryota; Metazoa; Arthropoda; Insecta; Diptera; Drosophilidae
Source: RNAcentral
GUCAAAACAAAGCGCGCUAUGCUAAAAGAUUAAAAAACGUUUAAGCAGCGCUGUCCAACAGCAACAGCAGAAACAAUAUGCCAGUAAUAACAGUAACACAAACACACCAGCACCAGCACCAGCACCAGAAUAAGCACCAAACACCAGAACCAACGAAAUUUGAGACACGCAGAGAAACGCAAACGCUCUUCAAAUGGAAAUCCGACUGAAAGCUACUCAUUACCAUCUGAAACACUGCAGCCAAAAUAUUGAAACUAAAGGCAACAAGUAUUUUGUUUGCAUUUGCUGUGGACAACGGAGAAAUCCAAUUUUUGGAAUGGCUGGUAAUAUAAAUAUACUCUCGAAUGUUUACAAUAUCCGGCUUAAGGCAAACUCUUUAACUCAGGCACAUUAUACCCCAGAACUUUACGAUUACCAGGUAUCACUUUGCUACAAGCAGGGGCCUUGUAAACAACAGGAGUAAAAGCCAACGCCGGCGCAGAGGUGAAGCGGAUAAGAGGCCAAAGCGGGGCAGAGCGGAUAAAAUGGAGCGCACGGAUAGCAAUCAACAUGGGCCGGAUAAAGCCAGCAGCUGGGAACACUCGCCUCCGGCUGUGCCGCUUCCCGCACGAGCAUAGCCGAUGCACAGUCGUACCGGCAGCCGAUGUCUGGCGAAUGAAUAUCCAUCCAGUGCGUGCUACUGUCGCUGUCGCUGUUGCUGCGCUGCCACCGCCGAAUCCGCUG